AUAUCAAUAAGCGGGGAAAAGAAACUAACAAGGAUUCCCCUAGUAACUGCGAGUGAAGCGGGAAAAGCUCAAAUUUAAAAUCUGGCGGUCUCUGGCCGUCCGAGUUGUAAUCUAGAGAAGUGUUAUCCGCGCUGGACCGUGUACAAGUCUCCUGGAAUGGAGCGUCAUAGAGGGUGAGAAUCCCGUCUUUGACACGGACUGCCAGGGCUUUGUGAUGCGCUCUCAAAGAGUCGAGUUGUUUGGGAAUGCAGCUCAAAAUGGGUGGUAAAUUCCAUCUAAAGCUAAAUAUUGGCGAGAGACCGAUAGCGAACAAGUACCGUGAGGGAAAGAUGAAAAGAACUUUGGAAAGAGAGUUAAACAGUACGUGAAAUUGCUGAAAGGGAAACGCUUGAAGUCAGUCGCGUUGGCCGGGGAUCAACCUUGCUUUUGCUGGGCGUACUUCCCGGUUGACGGGUCAGCAUCAAUUUUGACCGUUGGAUAAAGUUCAGGGGAAUGUGGCAUCUUCGGAUGUGUUAUAGCCCUUGGUCGCAUACAACGGUUGGGAUUGAGGAACUCAGCACGCCGCAAGGCCGGGUACUUGUACCACGUUCGUGCUUAGGAUGCUGGCAUAAUGGCUUUAAUCGACCCGUCUUGAAACACGGACCAAGGAGUCUAACAUGCCUGCGAGUGUUUGGGUGGAAAACUCGGACGCGUAAUGAAAGUGAAAGUUGAGAUCCCUGUCGUGGGGAGCAUCGACGCCCGGACCAGACCUUUUGUGACGGAUCCGCGGUAGAGCAUGUAUGUUGGGACCCGAAAGAUGGUGAACUAUGCCUGAAUAGGGUGAAGCCAGAGGAAACUCUGGUGGAGGCUCGUAGCGAUUCUGACGUGCAAAUCGAUCGUCAAAUUUGGGUAUAGGGGCGAAAGACUAAUCGAAUCCAUUCUAGUAGCU
This 928-nucleotide ribosomal RNA is filed under the name Hebeloma pseudofragilipes. RNAcentral's name for it is "partial large subunit ribosomal RNA". It matches the Rfam family "Eukaryotic large subunit ribosomal RNA", at positions 40 to 952 of the family's 3401-position model. The record is from RNAcentral. Lineage: Eukaryota; Fungi; Basidiomycota; Agaricomycetes; Agaricales; Hymenogastraceae.